GACGGAGGGUGCAAGCGUUGUUCGGAAUUACUGGGCGUAAAGCGUGCGCAGGCGGUUGUGCAAGACAGAUGUGAAAUCCCCGGGCUCAACCUGGGAACUGCAUUUGUGACUGCACGGCUGGAGUGCGGCAGAGGGGGAUGGAAUUCCGCGUGUAGCAGUGAAAUGCGUAGAUAUGCGGAGGAACACCGAUGGCGAAGGCAAUCCCCUGGGCCUGCACUGACGCUCAUGCACGAAAGCGUGGGGAGCAAACAGG
This 253-nucleotide ribosomal RNA is filed under the name uncultured bacterium. RNAcentral describes it as "partial 16S ribosomal RNA". It matches the Rfam family "Bacterial small subunit ribosomal RNA", at positions 524 to 776 of the family's 1533-position model. The record is from RNAcentral.